UACAGAGGUGGCAAGCGUUGUUCGGAAUUACUGGGCGUAAAGCGCGUGUAGGCGGCUCUUCAAGUCAGGCGUGAAAGCCCCGGGCUCAACUCGGGAACUGCGCUUGAUACUGUCGAGCUAGAGUGUGGAAGGGGCGAUUGGAAUUCCGUGUGUAGCGGUGAAAUGCGUAGAUAUACGGAGGAACACCAGAGGCGAAGGCGGAUCGCUGGGCAAACACUGACGCUGAGACGCGAAAGCUAGGGUAGCAAACGGG
This 253-nucleotide ribosomal RNA is filed under the name uncultured bacterium. Its description in RNAcentral is "partial 16S ribosomal RNA". It matches the Rfam family "Bacterial small subunit ribosomal RNA", at positions 524 to 776 of the family's 1533-position model. The record is from RNAcentral.